UCUGAAACUCACUAUGUAGCUGAAGCUUAAAUUCCUGGCAAUCUUCCCAUCUCAGCCUCCUGAGUACUGGGAUUACAUAUGUAUGCUACUAUACUCAACUUAUAAUGUCAUCAUUUUACAUACAGUAUGUACUGAAGAAAUGUCUUGCAUUUGAGUCUGCUUUGAAAGUUUUCUAUGAAGUCUUCCUUAGCUAAUUCUUUCCAUGACUAAUAUUUUCACAAUAUGUUUCAUGAGAAUAGAAAUCAUUUUGAGUUUUUUUCGGCUUUUGGCUCGGAGGAGGCUUAGGUGCAACUUUCUUCGGUCGUCCCGAAUCUGGGUUCAUCCGACACCAGCCGCCUCCAUCAUGCCACCCAAGUUCGACCCCAACGAGAUCAAAGUCAUCUAUCUGAGGUGCACUGGAGGCGAAGUCGGCGCCACAUUCACCUUGGCCCCCAAGAUUGGGCCCCUGGGUCUGUCUCAAAAAAGUUGGUGAUGACAUUGCCAAGGCAACCGGGGAUCGCAAAGGUCUGAGGAUUACAGUGAAGCUGACUAUUCAGAACAGACAGGCCCAGAUUGAAGUUGUACCCUCUGCCUCUGCCCUGAUCAUCAAAGCCUUCAAGGAGCCACCAAGAGACAGAAAGAAGCAGAAAAACAUUACGCACAGUGGAAAUAUCAGUUUUGAUGAGAUUGUCACCAUUGCCCGACAGAUGGGGCACUGGUCCUUAGCCAGAGAACUUUCUGGAACUAUUAAAGAGAUCCUGGGUACUACACAAUCUGUGGGCUACAAUGUAGAUGGCCAUCACCCUCAUGACGUCAUAGAUGACAUCAACAGUGGUGCAGUGGAAUGCCCAGCUAGUUAAGCAAGAGAAACUAUGUCAAUAAAAGAUGAUCUGACGACCAAAAAAAAAAAA
Nannospalax galili (Upper Galilee mountains blind mole rat) is the source of this 890-nucleotide RNA transcript. It is a transcript of the gene named 60S ribosomal protein L12 pseudogene, with no coding region annotated. Lineage: Eukaryota; Metazoa; Chordata; Mammalia; Rodentia; Spalacidae. The record is from RefSeq and is a predicted model, not a curated record. The transcript has a single exon.